RNAcentral lists this ribosomal RNA (326 nucleotides) under uncultured eukaryote. RNAcentral describes it as "partial 18S ribosomal RNA". It matches the Rfam family "Eukaryotic small subunit ribosomal RNA", at positions 1470 to 1796 of the family's 1831-position model. The record is from RNAcentral.
CCCUUAGACGUUCUGGGCCGCACGCGCGCUACACUGACGAAGGCAACGAGCUUUCCUUUACCGAAAGGUACGGGUAAUCUUUUGAAACUUCGUCGUGCUGGGGAUAGAUCCUUGCAAUUAUUGAUCUUAAACGAGGAAUUCCUAGUAAGCGUAAGUCAUCAGCUUGCGUUGAUUACGUCCCUGCCCUUUGUACACACCGCCCGUCGCUACUACCGAUUGAAUGGCUUAGUGAGGCCUCCGGAUUGGCUUUGGGGAGCCGGCAACGGCACCUCAUGGCUGAGAAGUUGGUCAAACUUGGUCAUUUAGAGGAAGUAAAAGUCGUAACA